UACGGAGGGUGCAAGCGUUGCUCGGAAUUAUUGGGCGUAAAGGGCAGGUAGGUGGUCUCGUUUGUCUAGGGUGAAAGCCUUGAGCUUAACUCAAGAAGUGCCCUAGAAACGGCGAGACUAGAGUUCUGGAGAGGGUCGUGGAAUUCCCGGUGUAGCGGUGAAAUGCGUAGAGAUCGGGAGGAACACCAGAGGCGAAGGCGGCGACCUGGACAGAUACUGACACUCAACUGCGAAAGCGUGGGGAGCAAACAGG
Molecule: ribosomal RNA, 253 nt
Filed under: uncultured bacterium
Lineage: Bacteria
Description: partial 16S ribosomal RNA
Rfam family: Bacterial small subunit ribosomal RNA
Source: RNAcentral